GGAAUUCGUGAGACCUCUGAACAGAGUCCCUGCUUGUUGGACUAUCCACACUGUCAUGAAGACUACCUAGAAAUAUUGGCAAUCUCAAAUUUGUGGUCAUUCCUUCAGAUGGCAGUGGGAACAUCAAGUCAUGUCCCUGUUUUGGUAUGGUAACCCCCAUAGGACAACACCAAGUUAAGUUCAACGUUCUCAUUCUUGCAGCUAACAGACAGUGAAAUCUGUCGAAUAUCUGUGUAGUUAAGGGAGUGGUAGAAAAAUCACACUCUUUUU
RNAcentral lists this small RNA (270 nucleotides) under Bos taurus (domestic cattle). Lineage: Eukaryota; Metazoa; Chordata; Mammalia; Artiodactyla; Bovidae. The record is from RNAcentral.